UACGUAGGUGGCAAGCGUUAUCCGGAAUUAUUGGGCGUAAAGAGCGCGCAGGUGGUUAAUUAAGUCUGAUGUGAAAGCCCACGGCUUAGCCGUGGAGGGUCAUUGGAAACUGGUUGACUUGAGUGCAGAAGAGGGAAGUGGAAUUCCAUGUGUAGCGGUGAAAUGCGUAGAGAUAUGGAGGAACACCAGUGGCGAAGGCGGCUUCCUGGUCUGCAACUGACACUGAGGCGCGAAAGCGUGGGGAGCAAACAGG
RNAcentral lists this ribosomal RNA (253 nucleotides) under uncultured bacterium. RNAcentral describes it as "partial 16S ribosomal RNA". It matches the Rfam family "Bacterial small subunit ribosomal RNA", at positions 524 to 776 of the family's 1533-position model. The record is from RNAcentral.